RNAcentral lists this ribosomal RNA (490 nucleotides) under uncultured bacterium. Its description in RNAcentral is "partial 16S ribosomal RNA". It matches the Rfam family "Bacterial small subunit ribosomal RNA", at positions 30 to 507 of the family's 1533-position model. The record is from RNAcentral.
UGAACGCUGGCGGCAUGCUUUCCACAUGCAAGUCGAACGGUAACAGGCCUUCGGGUGCUGACGAGUGGCGAACGGGUGAGUAAUGCAUCGGAACGUACCCAGAGGUGGGGGAUAACGCAGCGAAAGCUGUGCUAAUACCGCAUGUGAUCUGAGGAUGAAAGCGGGGGACCGAGCAGCAAUGUUUGGCCUCGCGCCUUUGGAGCGGCCGAUGUCGGAUUAGCUAGUUGGUGGGGUAAAGGCCUACCAAGGCGACGAUCCGUAGCUGGUCUGAGAGGACGACCAGCCACACUGGGACUGAGACACGGCCCAGACUCCUACGGGAGGCAGCAGUGGGGAAUUUUGGACAAUGGGCGCAAGCCUGAUCCAGCAAUGCCGCGUGCGGGAAGAAGGCCUUCGGGUUGUAAACCGCUUUUGGCAGGAACGAAACGGUGUCCGCUAAUACCGGGCGCUAAUGACGGUACCUGCAGAAUAAGCACCGGCUAACUACGUG